CGCCCCCUGAAAAAUUUUAAAGUAUAGGGGGUACUGCCUGCCCGGUGACAAUUGUGUUAAACGGCCGCGGUAUUUUUGACUGUGCGAAGGUAGCGUAAUCAUUUGCCCUUUGAUUGGGGGCUUGAAUGAACGGCAAGACAGAAGCUAUGCUGUCUUUUCUUUAAUUUCUUGAAUUUAAUAUUGUUGUGAAGAAGCGACAAUACGGCCGUAGGACGAGAAGACCCUGUCGAGCUUCACUAAGAGCGAUUUUGUUAAAUUAGAUUUUAAGGGCUAAUUAUUUUUAUACUGGUAAUAGUAGUAUUGUAGUUGUAAGUUACUCUUAGGUAAUCUAUUGGGAAGUUGUUUUAUUGUUUGGUUGGGGCAACCGCGGAGAACAGUAAUCCUCCGCUUUUUGUUAAGGAAAAGCCACGGCUUUGUUGUUUAAUAAUUUAUUUAAUAGGAUCCACUGCUUAAGUGAUUAAAGGAAUAAGUUACCGCAGGGAUAACAGCGUUAUUCUCUUGGAGAGUUCAUAUUGAUAAGGGAGUUUGCGACCUCGAUGUUGGAUCGGGAUAUCCUGGGGAUGUAGCAGUUCCUGAGGGUUGGUCUGUUCGACCAUUAAAAUCCU
This 605-nucleotide ribosomal RNA is filed under the name Henricia sanguinolenta. Its description in RNAcentral is "partial large subunit ribosomal RNA". It matches the Rfam family "Bacterial large subunit ribosomal RNA", at positions 1816 to 2597 of the family's 2925-position model. The record is from RNAcentral. Lineage: Eukaryota; Metazoa; Echinodermata; Asteroidea; Spinulosida; Echinasteridae.